Molecule: ribosomal RNA, 311 nt
Filed under: uncultured bacterium
Lineage: Bacteria
Description: bacterial SSU rRNA
Rfam family: Bacterial small subunit ribosomal RNA
Source: RNAcentral
GACGAACGCUGGCGGCGUGCUUAACACAUGCAAGUCGAGCGGUAAGGCCCUUUCGGGGGUACACGAGCGGCGAACGGGUGAGUAACACGUGGGUGACCUGCCCUCAGCUCUGGGAUAAGCCUGGGAAACCGGGUCUAAUACUGGAUAUGACUCCAUGACGCAUGUUGGUGGGGUGGAAAGCCUUGUGCGGCUGAGGAUGGGCCCGCGGCCUAAUCAGCUUGGUUGGUGGGGUGACNGGCCUACCAAAGGCGACGACGGGUAGCCGGCCUGAGAGGGCGACCGGCCACACUGGGACUGAGACACGGGCCCAG